GGGACUCGCAGACAAAUUAAAAUUUAUUGAGACAGACAAAAAUGCAACUACUUAGUACUACAAUUCAGCAUUUACAAUUAACCAAGGAAAUCAGCAACAUGUUCACAUUCCAUUUAAAUCUUCAUGGGGGAAAAAGCAUUCAUAAUUUACUAUGCUACUCUAAUUAACUAUGAUAUUGUACAUUCCAUCUACAGUAGGGACAUAAAACUUAAACACUUAAUAUCUGGAUCUCUCCUUACAACGCUACACAUUAAACAGUAACGGACAUCAGCAGCAUUGAGAAAAGUAUAAAAAGACCAAAUACCACCUACUGUAGAAAGGGCUCUUUGAUGUGUAUUAACAGUACAAAGCAGUCUGUGCAAUAAAAGAAAACUGAAUGGCAGAAAGAAGAGUCUGCAGUGAAAGCCAUCAAAUUUCUAUGGAAAAAAAGAGAGUCUAAUACUGGGAGUUCUGGUGGUCUGUUGCAAAUAAUGACCCUAGAUUUAGUGGACACAAUCCGGCCAAAUUUAAUGAGUUCCCAUUGAUUUUAGUGGGAGAAAAUUAACCACAUGCUUAACACUGCCAUUAACUAACAUCAGUGUGACUUAAGCAUCUUAACUUUGGCUGGCUGGUGUUCUAUGUCAUUUGCUACCUGGAGAAAAUGGUAUGAAAUUUCUAAUAUUGAAGUAUUGACUAGCAGAUUGUGUUGCUUCUUAUAUGACACUUGCAUGUGAAGUACUGUUACAUAUAAACACAUAGGCAACAAUUCAACACAGAGGCGAAGGUUUGAUCCUACGUACGUUCACUUGGAAGUCCUACUAAAUCAAUGCAACAUAUUCUAGUGUGCAUAGAAUUGUCCCUUAGCUAUGUUUUAACUCCACUGAAAUCAAUGGGUUUAUCUCACCUAAUUCUGUGCUGGAUUGCGGACACAAUGUAGUUUUAAAUCAGGUGUGAAAGAAUUCAAAGCACAAUGGAGGCUAGAAGUGAACAGAUGUUACCUUUUGUGAAAUCUGUAAAAAGAACACACUGAAGCGCAAUACAAAAACCUAACAAGGCUCCAAAAUACAUAUUUUUUUGUAAAGUAUCAUGAAAAGAAUAGGAUGCAUCCCUCAAAGCUUACUUCCUUGAAAGUCAUUUAAAUACAGGGAAUGAUUGGCUUGAAGACUGCAGAGUAACCUUGUUCUUUUUGGUGCUGGAGGGGUUUUUUUUCCAUUGCCCAUAACUUUUUGGAAGGUCAGUAAUUUGAAGGAAAUGCAGUAUUUUAGCUUCCAAUGGAACCAGAAAUUUAAGUCAAGCUGUAGGCAAGUUAAAAGCUUUAGAUUGUCAUAAGGGAGAAAUAGAAUAGGUAAUUCUGCUGUGGGAUAUAAGAGCCAGUGGCUCUACUCUAUACUGCAUUAAAGGCCUUAUUUCUUUAACAUUUUAAUGAUCUGGAGUAUCACUUUUUUUUUCUUGAGGCAUGCUGUGAAAUGGGGUGGGGAGAAAGCAAUAAGAACUCUGAAAUAUGAAUAUAAUGAUACUUGCAUUAACCAUGUUGACUUUUGUAUUAAAUAUGAACAAAUAUGGUGGCCAAGAAUUUGACAAAGAUUCUGAUUACCAGUGUUGUUGAUAUUCUGGUUUACGGGUUUAUAAAAUAGUUCCAUUGGAUUAUCAAGAUUUGUUUUCAAAUCAACCUUUUUAUUGUAUAGGCAUUUCCAGAAAACCAACAGGCGUAAUUAUGGCGAGGGUUGUUUGUUUUCUUAAAUAGCAAGAUCAACCCCGCGAUAUCAUGGUCCAUGGGAGGCAUCAGACCUUCUUCUCUGAGAGAGGGAGAACUGAUGUUGGAUGCACUCUCCCUGCCAUUGCAGAAACCUCCGUGGUACUUGCUCCACUAAUGUUACUGAUCCGUAGGGCUGAAAAGGGUGUGUGCUAGAGGUGAAUUGGAGCUGUGCUUGGGGCAAAUUAAGGGAAUUUACGAUCUGAAGAAUACAUAGAUUUCCAAGAAGCCUGACAUGCCCCUGAAUCAUGGAUAGUCCCAAGACCUGUCCCUUUUCAGUGAGCUGUGAAGAAUUGAAAAUGAUACAGCAUGUAUUCGAAUAAGUACUCAAGUCAUUUUUUAAUCCUUGAAAAGAUACUGGAUUGACUCCAACAGAUGUUCACUUGCACAACAGGAUUUCAACUUUUGCUCCUCCCACUCCAUAGUCACCUGUUAUUGUUAUUAUUAUUAUUAUUAUUAUUUAUUAAAUUUGUAUUCUGCCCUGUACCUGUAGAUCUCAGGGAGGUUCACAGCAUAAAAUCAUACACACCUCCCAUCUCCCUUUGGAGCAGAUUUUGGGGGAACAUGGGUGUGGGAGGAGAGGAAGGGGAAGUCUUGCUGUCUGAACAGGGCCCUGCUCCCACAACAUUGAAUUACACUGUUGUGAUUAAUGUAUGCUGAAUUGCAGACUGGAUGCUUUGUUGAGCUAACAAAGUAAGUUUAUUGCAUGGUGAUUGACUGAAAAACAACAACACUAUUUUGAGUUGUAGUUUGUGAAAAUGGUCAAAACCAUCCACCCUAACAUAAAGAAUGAAGAUGCUGUUCCAAAUGAUGUUUCUGAUAUGUAGAAAUAUGCAACCAUUUGCUUGGCAUUGAUUUUAGGAAUCUUUUUCAAUAAGCACUUGAGCUUUUUCACUUAGGCUGAGAGCUUUGCACAACGUAACUUAUCAGAUGAAGGCAAAUAUCAUGCAACAGUCUAUAGCAUGAGCUGACUAUGGCCACAUUCUGUAAUCAAAUGCACAUACUGAAUGCCACUGAUUUAGAUGAAGUAAAUCUCUGCUCUGAUCCAUAAUGUAUUAGAUUAUGUUACAUUUGGUUUCUUAUGACCCUUCUCACUGGUGGAAUAGUAAACCCUUUGAAUUCACAUUUUAUAUUACUAAUAUUGAGAAGUGGAAAUGCAUACUUCACCAGAAGUAGUAAGGAUGAACCAUGGCAUGUAUUCCACAGUUCAAGCACCAGUUGGUAGUGAUAUGGCAUGCCUAAUUCAUGUUCCCAAAUAAUGUUAAGAUGAAAGCCACGUCUGCACUUGAGUUUUUAACAUUUUAUUUUUGGUUCAGCAGUGCAAGCUACUGAACUGGGGAAGUAUUAAGGAGGCUGGGGUUGCCAAACUGAAAGUGAACCCCCCCCCAUGUUAACCACCUUUUCUACUUUCCUUUAUACUAGAUUCUUGCAUUACUUUUAAACAGUGUCUAAUAAAAAUGUAUAUUGGAAAACAAUAUUUCCCCAGCCUCUGAGCUCAAAUAGAUAUGCUGUGCCUUGUUUUCUGUUCAGAUAAACGUUAAGAACAUCUUGAAGUAACAUUAAGGUUAUUCAUGUUUGGAUAGGAGAGCAUAGCCCUUCAUAAAUGUGCAUAGCUAUUUAAUUUUACUGCUUUUGUUGUGAGGGAACUGGUGAAUCUGAUGAGCUUGGGAAAUAUAUAUGCUGGGUGGAAUUCCCAUCAUUCCCAACCAUUGGCCAUGCUGGCUGGGACUGAUGGGAGAUGGAGUCCAGCAACAGAUGGGGGGGGGGGGCUACAUUAGCUACUUCUGUGCUUCACAGUGUCUUGCAAAUUUGGCAUUGGAUUUUCUGUGUGCUUUUUACUUUCUCAUGCACCAUCAUUAUGUAUACAUGCAAUGACAUCCAAAAAGGUGGAAGCUGGAUUCAAUGCAUGGGUCACCUUUGCUGGCUGCAAUAUAUAUACUCUGACUAGAAUUAAAAGGAUAAAGUCAGUUGAUACGAAAAUUCCUGCAGUCUUUGCAGUUUAGUAUGUGGAGUAAGAUUAGUAGAUAAUUGUAUGUAGCUUACUGAUCUUUAAAAAAAAUGAUUUAAAUGAAACAGAGAUGGAAAGCUGCACUUUCCGAGACAAAUCCACAAUAAGGCUGGGUCCAGACUGUUGUUGAUUGAGCCUACUGCUGACGCAUACCACUGUAUCAAAAUUAUAUAUACUAUUGUAUAAAAUAACCUAUUGUAUGCUCUUGUUAUAUGGCAUAGCAGAUAUUAAUCAUUAUAUUUUAUCCGGUAGAGUUUAAAGCCAUUAGAAGUUAUAAACAAAGUAAUUUUCACAGAGGUGAGGACAGGAGGCCUAUUAAUUAAUGUCUUGGUCAGCCAACAUUGUAGGUACAUUUAUUAUUUCUCCCCCAGAAAAUGUAAUGGGAAGUGAAUUACAGCAUUUAUCCUGUGUCUUGAUAGAGAACUCAAGAGAACCUGUCGUGGCUUUGGAUUGUGUUAGUUCUGCACUGUUGCAGAAUGGAACAAAAAAGCUUGUGAGACUUGCUUGGUCAAAUUUCAUGUAGCUUUGCCAUCUUUUCCUAGUUCCUGAAUCUUACAUGGGCAAUGGGGGGGACGGGGACACAAAUGGUUCAACAGGAGGUAAAGCUGAGUUAUCAUGAAAUAGAUGACACUGCAACUUUUCAUUGCCUCUGAAGGCACCACUUCAUUCUGCUUCUCUGGCAUGGCUCUAGUAUUUUUCUAAGGGCUUUACUACAAAGGAUUCAUUUUUCCUUCAAAUGCUAUUGAGAAUCUGACAAAAUUGUAGGUGUGUUUCCAAUUGCUGCUGCUUCAGGUUUUCCACCUUUAGUUACAAUAAUAAAUGGUAUUUUUGUACCUCACCCUUUUCUGAUUUUAAUAUUUUUCUCUCCAGACAAACAGGAAAUCAAAUAGUAAGAAUUUUAGAGAAUGAUUAUAGUCUGCAGACAAAGCUCAGUUUGAUUCGUCUUUAAGAGCUUAUUUUUAAAUGUACUAACUCUCAGGGAGAUUAUUGAAUCUAAGGACAUUGCCUGUUUUCAGUUUUGCUAUUGAAUUCUAUACCGAUAUGUAUGAAGUAAUCUAUAUUAUCAUGGGUUUGCUUGGGAGUGGGAAUUGUUGGGAAAGAAUUUGAAAUGGUUCUUAAAAGAAAAAACAACCAGAAACUUUGUGUUGGUUAAUUUUUAUACAUACAAACCCCAUAUAAACAAAAGUCAUAGUGUUUAAGACAGUGAGCCCAGCAAUUAAGCAACAUCAGAGGAGGCAGGGAUUAUGGGGUUUUGUGUGUGUUUAUGUGUAAUGAGAUUAAUUCCAUCAUUAACACCACAACUGACUUUAAGAUUUAAUCUGCAGGGUUGUUGUUUUUUACUCACAUAAAUGAAAUGUCCCUGCUCCAGAAAUUAAAUGUCUCCUGUAUCCUGUUGAAAUCGGUAGAAUAGGUUAGGUAUGGUAUGGCUAAUUUAAGUCUUUUUUAUUGAUUUCAAUAGGACUUGGCUAUGUUUUGGAGCUGAAGAAGGCAGAUCAGUUGGGAAAGACCCAUGUGAGUGGCCUCACCCAUGUGAUUUCAAUCUUCACACACACCCCAGCAAUGAUGGACUUCACCAGAAAGCAGCUGCAUUCACACUGCUCUGCGUGCAUAACAAGAACAAAGGCUAAAUGGAAACUUUAUCGUAAGUAUAUAAAAGAUAAUAGCACUUCUCUGCAACCACAGUGAAUUUGACUUCUACAGGUUUUAUUAAUUUAAGUAGGUAAGCAGUAUGGUGAAAAUGAUAGCUAUGUUGCAGCUUCUAAUUGGACGGUAUUACAGUAGGUGACUUUUAUUGUAUACUAGUCCAGCCAGUGUUCAAAUACAGCUUAAUAGUGCACCCCAGAAAACCCAUAUUCUUAAAACAUUAAUCCCCAUUAAUCUCAUGUAACUUACUUUCAAGUGUGAGCUCUGGACUCUGAGGUGCUUUGUGAACAUGGUAACUCACAGGAGUGGAGUAGUCGUAUACCGGCAGCUGCUCCCUACCCCUUAAUGUGUUGUAGCUGGCCUAUUAAGGAUAGCUACAUGGCUUUACUUGGAGACGGGCAAAGUUGAGGAAGAGCAGGGCAUCCACAGCUUCCUUGCAUGACAGCCUAUGUCCUUUUACAAUAGCAAGGAAUGGGGCAGUGCAUUCCUCAAUGAGGAUUGGGAUAGAGGUCAAGUGGCAAUUAGGGCAGAGCCCAAUGGCUUCAUUCACCAGGCAUUGGAUCCUACUUUAAGCACAACAGCACAGGACACAAUUUGCAUCACUAUGGCUAAAGAAGACAGAAAGGCCAAAGCAAUUGUGUGGAUUUUCUUCAGUGGAACUGCAGAGUUUUUAAGUGUGUAUGAUGUACAUUUAUGGAUUGUAGCAGUGGCACCUUUAAAAGUCAAAGGACAACCAGCUUACUUAAUUACUGGAAUCCAUUGAGCUCAGGGUUUCAGGCUAAGGCUGUAUAUCAGGGAGGUAACUUCUCAGCUGGAUAUUAUAAUUUCACAAAGCCAGUAAAUUUAGGAUGCACUUGUUGGGAAUAUUAAAACAAACUGAAAUGUAAUAUUAACAUCAUGACAUUUGGCAUUUUGAAGGGUUCAUUAACAAACCAGACCUUGUGUUAAAAUGAAUUGUUAAAAAACAGCAACCCCAGACUUCAUCACACUAGAAGCAAAAGGCAUAAACAAACAAGAGUAUCACACAUAGCAAACAAUAGUCUGAGGAUAGAUGCCAUUGUGCAGCCGCCUGAAAACUGUAUAGAAAUUCACACUAAAAAAUUAGCACUUUCUCACAGAAAUAUAAGCUUUCUUUAAAGUGUACAGGCCAUGUUCAGUUCUGGUAGAACAGCACUAUAAUUGCCCUGAUCAACAAAAGUGGUAUGGUCCUUAGUGUUCGCAGAAUUUAAGACCUAUCUGGCAUUUAUUUCCUUCCAUUUAAUGAGAAAAAGAUGGGGCUUGUUACAAAUCCAUCUUUUCCCUCCCAACCAAUCAUAGAUGCUCAUCAUGUUUUGUCCUUGCGUGGACAGCUAACAUAAUAAAAGGUCUGCAAUGGCAAAUUCAUUUCCCCACACUGAAUGGCAAUGGGGAACAAUGAGAUGCUGCUAUGGAGAUAUAACUAUGUGGAAUAUUUUAAUCACAUUCUCUUCUGGUUCAUAUGUGUAAGUAUUACAUGUCAUAUUAACCAGAAGUGUUAUUAACCAGAAACGCAACUGCCUAAAGAUGUUUUCUUUUUUAAAACAGAGCAAAUAAAUAUCAACAAUUUAAAAUAAAGGGAAGACAGCUUAUUACUGCUGAUGGUUAGUGCCUCUGACAGCUUCAGCACUUCCAAAUGAGGAUUCAUUUAGAGUAAAUGAAGAAAAAGCGUUUUCAGCAAAACCAGUGGUAUGCUAUCCAGGAAGCAGAGGCAGCUUGCAUAGCAUUAGUGCAAACUUGAUCAAAGCAAAAUCCAAGACUUGCAAGCCUGCAAAAACGAUUGUAAAGAAAUGCAUUUGCAAAGCAUUCCUUUUCCACAUGUUUUAAAAGGCCAUUCCAGGCUUGUUUCCUUUGCUAAAAGUUGUGUGCAUACUAUACCAAUCAUCAAGAUCAUGAUGCUUAACUUAAAGUGAACUAAUUUUGAUUAAACAGUCAUCUGAGAUCUUAUCCUGCACUCCGGGUGCAGGGGAGAACUUUCAUUGAGUUCUGCUAAAAUAAGACAGUGGUUCUGCCAACCAUGUUAAAGAAAAAUGAGGAGGAACUAAAAUGGAAUUAUUUCUGACUUAAAGCCAGUGGGUGACCAAAUCAGAAUGUUAAGGCGAUUUUGAUAUUUUCAAACAAGUUCCAGAUGGCGAGACAGAAAAACCCCCAACCCUACCUGCUUUUAACAUUAAAGUAGCAAAACCACAGUAGUAACAACAAAUGGCACAAUUAAAAAAGAUCAAGUAAUUGAAAACUUUAGUUCUGGUAACAUCAGAAGAGCCCAGUGCUUGGAUGUGCUGACCCUCUUGCUAUGUUCCAUAUUCCAUUUUUAUAAAAGACUCAUAUGAGCAGAUUAAGCUAUGAAAGUCACCAUGUCAGUAAAAUAGAACAAUGCUUACAAUUAUGCCAAAAAAUAGCUAGUCAGGUGGGAAAGCUGUCUUCCAAAUUAAACACAGUGUACUAAAUUAAAUUGAGUGGAGAGAUAAUUGCUUCCGUCCAGCAGUUUGCUGGCCACAAGAGCUCCAGUGCACAUGAGUGUGCCAAGUCCCACAUGUGCAAGGAGCUCCCACAUGUGAAAGGUCUUCCCAGUUCACUUCAAUGUCAGGUUCAGCUCUGCAUGCUCAUCUCCAUUGUGCUUGUGGAGUUACGCCCAGCAGUAAAGUGAAAGGGAAGCUCAAUUGUAAGGGAUACCUGUGUGCAUAUUGGAAUGCCCAAACGGGUUUAAAUUGAGCUCCAUAUGCAAUGCCUGAUGUUUCAGUUACCAUUGCAGAGAUACGAAAUGACUUGUGAUAUUGUGCAAAACAUGAGUCCUCAGAGAUAUGGGAACUACCAUAUAUAGCCAAUUUCAUCCUCCUUGUCGUCAUCUUCAUCUUCAUCAUCAUCAUUAGCUGCUCUUACAUGGAUCUUCUGUUUCCCUUCUUGGUCCUUUUUUGCUGCUUCAUGUUCCUCUUCCAGAUCAUCCAAUAAUAUCACUGAUCCACCACUACCGAAAUCCCCUGAGGUUUCUUGCUCCUCUUCUGCAACCGGGAAGAAUUCACAGUUAUACUUUAAGCCCAAUUUUCUAUCAAAACAUGUCAAUGUUCUCAUUAUUUAAACUAUUUAAUUCAUCCCUCCCCCCUAACAUGUCUGCUUUCU
Non-coding RNA from Podarcis lilfordi (Lilford's wall lizard), 8516 nucleotides. The record is from the annotation of a GenBank genome assembly. Lineage: Eukaryota; Metazoa; Chordata; Lepidosauria; Squamata; Lacertidae.